AUCCAGCUGACAAGUCCCACAUAGGAUGAAACGCGCGUCAUGGAU
Non-coding RNA from Schistosoma mattheei, 45 nucleotides. The record is from Rfam. Lineage: Eukaryota; Metazoa; Platyhelminthes; Trematoda; Strigeidida; Schistosomatidae.